Molecule: long non-coding RNA, 451 nt
Filed under: Homo sapiens (human)
Lineage: Eukaryota; Metazoa; Chordata; Mammalia; Primates; Hominidae
Description: HSALNT0217912
Source: RNAcentral
GAGCCGGGACCCGGGAGCCGGGAGAGGGGCGGGGAAGGCGCAGGUGCGGUCCUGGCGUCCCAGCCUCCGCGCUCACGCCUCGCGCCCUGGCGGCUGCAGGUCUGCGGAAGGAGAGCGGGGGCGGCAGCGCAUCAAGGGCAACGGCAUCAGCCUCCGCGGCGGAGCCCUGGGUCGGCUGCGCGGAGGGGCCCGAUAGCGGCAGCGGGCCAGCCGAGCCUUCAGAGCCUGGGGACGGCUCGGGAUGGGCGCGCGGGGCGCUGAGGACGGGGAGACGGGCUGGGAGCAGACAGGAGGGAAAUUCCGAGCGCUGGGCCGCAGGUGUGGCGAACAGGAGCCUCUUGAAUGCAAAAAUCCAAGAUCCAAGAUGCUGCUUUUCUGCAGUUCGAGAAUCUCCCAAGCCAUCCGCUGAGAGAACUCAGCUCUGGAGGACAUUCCGAGAACAUUGCCAGGA